ACGUAGGGGGCAAGCGUUAUCCGGAUUUACUGGGUGUAAAGGGAGCGUAGACGGCGAUGCAAGUCCGAUGUGAAAACCCAUGGCUCAACCAUGGGAUUGCAUUAGAAACUGUAUUGCUAGAGUGCAGGAGAGGUAAGCGGAAUUCCUGGUGUAGCGGUGAAAUGCGUAGAUAUCAGGAGGAACACCGGUGGCGAAGGCGGCUUACUGGACUGUAACUGACGUUGAGGCUCGAAGGCGUGGGGAGCAAACAG
This 251-nucleotide ribosomal RNA is filed under the name uncultured prokaryote. RNAcentral describes it as "partial 16S rRNA". It matches the Rfam family "Bacterial small subunit ribosomal RNA", at positions 525 to 775 of the family's 1533-position model. The record is from RNAcentral.